RNAcentral lists this ribosomal RNA (497 nucleotides) under uncultured bacterium. RNAcentral's name for it is "partial 16S ribosomal RNA". It matches the Rfam family "Bacterial small subunit ribosomal RNA", at positions 28 to 507 of the family's 1533-position model. The record is from RNAcentral.
GAUGAACGCUGGCGGCGUGCCUAAUACAUGCAAGUCGAGCGAACGGACGAGAAGCUUGCUUCUCUGAUGUUAGCGGCGGACGGGUGAGUAACACGUGGAUAACCUACCUAUAAGACUGGGAUAACUUCGGGAAACCGGAGCUAAUACCGGAUGAUAUUUUGAACCGCAUGGUUCAAAAGUGAAAAACGGUCUUGCUGUCACUUAUAGAUGGAUCCGCGCUGCAUUAGCUAGUUGGUAAGGUAACGGCUUACCAAGGCAACGAUGCAUAGCCGACCUGAGAGGGUGAUCGGCCACACUGGAACUGAGACACGGUCCAGACUCCUACGGGAGGCAGCAGUAGGGAAUCUUCCGCAAAGGGCGAAAGCCUGACGGAGCAACGCCGCGUGAGUGAUGAAGGUCUUCGGAUCGUAAAACUCUGUUAUUAGGGAAGAACAUAUGUGUAAGUAACUGUGCACAUCUUGACGGUACCUAAUCAGAAAGCCACGGCUAACUACGUG